Molecule: ribosomal RNA, 253 nt
Filed under: uncultured bacterium
Lineage: Bacteria
Description: partial 16S ribosomal RNA
Rfam family: Bacterial small subunit ribosomal RNA
Source: RNAcentral
UACGUAUGGGGCAAGCGUUAUCCGGAUUUACUGGGUGUAAAGGGAGCGUAGGCGGCCUGGCAAGCCUGAUGUGAAAUACCGGGGCCCAACCCCGGGGCUGCAUUGGGAACUGCCAGGCUGGAGUGCCGGAGAGGCAGGCGGAAUUCCCAGUGUAGCGGUGAAAUGCGUAGAUAUUAGGAGGAACACCAGUGGCGAAGGCGGCCUGCUGGACGGUGACUGACGCUGAGGCUCGAAAGCGUGGGGAGCAAACAGG